This 485-nucleotide ribosomal RNA is filed under the name uncultured bacterium. RNAcentral describes it as "bacterial SSU rRNA". It matches the Rfam family "Bacterial small subunit ribosomal RNA", at positions 30 to 507 of the family's 1533-position model. The record is from RNAcentral.
UGAACGCUAGCUACAGGCUUAACACAUGCAAGUCGAGGGGCAGCAUGGUCUUAGCUUGCUAAGGCCGAUGGCGACCGGCGCACGGGUGAGUAACACGUAUCCAACCUGCCGUCUACUCUUGGACAGCCUUCUGAAGAGAUUAAUACAAGAUGGCAUCAUGAGUCCGCAUGUUCACAUGAUUAAAGGUAUUCCGGUAGACGAUGGGGAUGCGUUCCAUUAGAUAGUAGGCGGGGUAACGGCCCACCUAGUCUUCGAUGGAUAGGGGUUCUGAGAGGAAGGUCCCCCACAUUGGAACUGAGACACGGUCCAAACUCCUACGGGAGGCAGCAGUGAGGAGUAUUGGUCAAUGGGCGAGAGCCUGAACCAGCCAAGUAGCGUGAAGGAUGACUGCCCUAUGGGUUGUAAACUUCUUUUAUAAAGGAAUAAAGUCGGGUAUGGAUACCCGUUUGCAUGUACUUUAUGAAUAAGGAUCGGCUAACUCCGUG